GCCACGGCCAUACCACCCUGAGCGGGCCCGAUCUCGUCUGAUCUCGGAAGCCAAGCAGGGUCGGGCCUGGUCAGUACUUGGACGGGAGACCGCCUGGGAAUACCAGGUGCUGUAAGCU
Ribosomal RNA from Oreochromis aureus, 118 nucleotides. The record is from Ensembl. NCBI's taxonomy places the organism in Eukaryota, Metazoa, Chordata, Actinopteri, Cichliformes, Cichlidae.